AGCCGGCGUAGCUCAGGGGUAGAGCAGCUGUUUUGUAAACAGCUGGCCGGGGGUUCGAAUCCCUUCGCCGGCUCCCA
RNAcentral lists this transfer RNA (77 nucleotides) under Ktedonobacter sp. SOSP1-85. RNAcentral describes it as "tRNA-Thr". It matches the Rfam family "tRNA". Rfam says of the family: Transfer RNA (tRNA) molecules are approximately 80 nucleotides in length. Their secondary structure includes four short double-helical elements and three loops (D, anti-codon, and T loops). Further hydrogen bonds mediate the characteristic L-shaped molecular structure. tRNAs have two regions of fundamental functional importance: the anti-codon, which is responsible for specific mRNA codon recognition, and the 3' end, to which the tRNAs corresponding amino acid is attached (by aminoacyl-tRNA synthetases). tRNAs cope with the degeneracy of the genetic code in two manners: having more than one tRNA (with a specific anti-codon) for a particular amino acid; and 'wobble' base-pairing, i.e. permitting non-standard base-pairing at the 3rd anti-codon position. Lineage: Bacteria; Bacillati; Chloroflexota; Ktedonobacteria; Ktedonobacterales; Ktedonobacteraceae. The record is from RNAcentral.